GUUUCCUGGGUACCAGAGGCCUUUCUAAGGACUGCAAUCCUGAGCCAAACUGGGAAGAAAGUUCUGUUCUUACAAAGAAGGAAUGCUGUUUGUUUCAGCUGUGUGAACACAUGCAGGUGCCGUAUCACUUCAGAAUAUCCCGUCUCCAUUCAUUCUCUCAUCCAUAUAAAGGCGAAGGUCUCCUUCAAAGCUUUAAGAAGAAUUUAUACUUAAUGGAAUUUGUCUCUUUCAGAAUUGGUGUGUGGAAAUCAGUAUAAGUAAAAAUUGCCUGCGAUUACUGAUCUUUGUGAGAUCUGCUGCUAUUGUGUCACAAAUUAAUCACUAAAAAACU
Molecule: long non-coding RNA, 331 nt
Organism: Numida meleagris (helmeted guineafowl)
Lineage: Eukaryota; Metazoa; Chordata; Aves; Galliformes; Numididae
Exons: 3
Source: RefSeq, a predicted model, not a curated record